RNAcentral lists this ribosomal RNA (516 nucleotides) under uncultured bacterium. RNAcentral's name for it is "bacterial SSU rRNA". It matches the Rfam family "Bacterial small subunit ribosomal RNA", at positions 28 to 556 of the family's 1533-position model. The record is from RNAcentral.
AAUCAACGCUGGCGGCGUGCCUCAGACAUGCAAGUCGAACGAUUAAACUUCCCUUCGGGGAAGAUAUAAAGUGGCGCACGGGUGAGUAACACGUAAGUAAUCUACCUUCGAGUGGGGAAUAACAUCGGGAAACCGAUGCUAAUACCGCAUAACGCAGCGGCACCUUAUGGUGACAGUUGUUAAAGGAGCAAUCCGCUUGAAGAGGAGCUUGCGGCAGAUUAGCUAGUUGGUAAGGUAAUGGCUUACCAAGGCUACGAUCUGUAUCCGGUCUAAGAGGACGGUCGGACACACUGACACUGAAUAACGGGUCAGACUCCUACGGGAGGCAGCAGUCGGGAAUUUUGGGCAAUGGGCGAAAGCCUGACCCAGCAACGCCGCGUGAAGGAUGAAGUAUUUCGGUAUGUAAACUUCGAAAGAAUGGGAAGAAUUAAUGACGGUACCAUUUAUAAGCUCCGGCUAACUACGUGCCAGCAGCCGCGGUAAUACGUAGGGAGCAAGCGUUGUUCGGAUUUACGU